GGUGUUUACUGUCGAACUGAACACUCUACCGUUUACUGUCUGGUGGUGCUCUUCACCGAGUGUCACCAGUGGUCGGUACGUUUACUUUGAAAAAAUUAGAGUGCUCAAAGCGGUUUUUACACGACCGAAUACUGUUGCAUGGAAUAAUGAAAUAGGACUUUGGUUCUAUUUUGUUGGUCUUCGGAACCAAGGUAAUGAUUAAGAGGGACAGACGGGGGCAUUAGUAUUGCGACGCUAGAGGUGAAAUUCUUGGACCGUCGCAAGACUAACUAAAGCGAAAGCAUUUGCCAAGAAUGUUUUCAUUAAUCAAGAACGAAAGUUAGAGGUUCGAAGGCGAUCAGAUACCGCCCCAGUUCUAACCAUAAACGAUGCCAACCAGCAAUCAGCCUGUGUUCUCUUGAUGACACGGCUGGCGGCUUCCGGGAAACCAAAGUCUUUCGGUUCCAGGGGAAGUAUGGUUGCAAAGCUGAAACUUAAAGGAAUUGACGGAAGGGCACCACCAGGAGUGGAGCCUGCGGCUUAAUUUGACUCAACACGGGGAAACUCACCCGGCCCGGACACUGUGAGGAUUGACAGGUUGAAGCCCUUUCUUGAUUCAGUGGGUGGUGGUGCAUGGCCGUUCUUAGUUGGUGGAGUGAUUUGUCUGGUUAAUUCCGAUAACGAACGAGACUUUGACCUGCUAAAUAGACACUACAGCCUCGGCUGUAGCUGGGCUUCUUAGAGGGACUUUGCA
Molecule: ribosomal RNA, 733 nt
Filed under: uncultured eukaryote
Lineage: Eukaryota
Description: SSU rRNA
Rfam family: Eukaryotic small subunit ribosomal RNA
Source: RNAcentral